UAGGGAAUAUUGGUCAAUGGGGGCAACCCUGAACCAGCCAUGCCGCGUGCAGGAAGACUGCCCUAUGGGUUGUAAACUGCUUUUGUACGGGAAGAAAUCAAUCUACGUGUAGGUUGUUGACGGUACCGUGAGAAUAAGGAUCGGCUAACUUCGUGCCAGCAGCCGCGGUAAUACGAAGGAUCCAAGCGUUGUCCGGAUUUACUGGGUUUAAAGGGUGCGUAGGCGGUUUAAUAAGUCAGUGGUGAAAGCCUUCAGCUUAACUGAAGAAUUGCCAUUGAAACUGUUAGACUCGAGUAUGGUUGAGGUCACUGGAAUGUAACAUGUAGCGGUGAAAUGCUUAGAUAUGUUACAGAACACCAAUUGCGAAGGCAGGUGACUAAGCCAUAACUGACGCUGAGGCACGAAAGCGUGGGGAGCAAACAGGAUUAGAUACCCUGGUAGUCCACGCCCUAAACGUUGAAUACUCGGUCUUGGCGAUAUACAGUCAGGGCCCAAGCGAAAGCGUUAAGUAUUCCACCUGGGAAGUACGUUCGCAAGAAUG
Molecule: ribosomal RNA, 541 nt
Filed under: uncultured bacterium
Lineage: Bacteria
Description: bacterial SSU rRNA
Rfam family: Bacterial small subunit ribosomal RNA
Source: RNAcentral